RNAcentral lists this ribosomal RNA (593 nucleotides) under Bacillus thuringiensis. RNAcentral describes it as "bacterial SSU rRNA". It matches the Rfam family "Bacterial small subunit ribosomal RNA", at positions 844 to 1445 of the family's 1533-position model. The record is from RNAcentral. Lineage: Bacteria; Bacillati; Bacillota; Bacilli; Caryophanales; Bacillaceae.
UGGUGAAGUUAACCCAUUAAGCACUCCCCCUGGGGAGUCGGCCGCAAGGCUGAAACUCAAGGAAUUGACGGGGGCCCGCCACAAGCGGGGAGCAUGUGGUUAAUUCGAAGCAACGGAAGACCUUACCAGGUCUUGACAUCUUCUGAAAACCCUAGAGAUAGGCUUCUCCUUCGGGAGCAGAGUGACAGGUGGUGCAUGGUGUCGUCAGCUCGUGUCGUGAGAUGUUGGGUUAAGUCCCGCAACGAGCGCAACCCUUGAUCUUAGUUGCCAUCAUUAAGUUGGGCACUCUAAGGUGACUGCCGGUGACAAACCGGAGGAAGGUGGGGAUGACGUCAAAUCAUCAUGCCCCUUAUGACCUGGGCUACACACGUGCUACAAUGGACGGUACAAAGAGCUGCAAGACCGCGAGGUGGAGCUAAUCUCAUAAAACCGUUCUCAGUUCGGAUUGUAGGCUGCAACUCGCCUACAUGAAGCUGGAAUCGCUAGUAAUCGCGGAUCAGCAUGCCGCGGUGAAUACGUUCCCGGGCCUUGUACACACCGCCCGUCACACCACGAGAGUUUGUAACACCCGAAGUCGGUGGGGUAACCUUUUG